This 444-nucleotide ribosomal RNA is filed under the name Segatella oris. Its description in RNAcentral is "bacterial SSU rRNA". It matches the Rfam family "Bacterial small subunit ribosomal RNA", at positions 28 to 462 of the family's 1533-position model. Lineage: Bacteria; Pseudomonadati; Bacteroidota; Bacteroidia; Bacteroidales; Prevotellaceae. The record is from RNAcentral.
GAUGAACGCUGGCUACAGGCUUAACACAUGCAAGUCGAGGGGAAACGACGGGGAAGCUUGCUUCCCCGGGCGUCGACCGGCGCACGGGUGAGUAACGCGUAUCCAACCUGCCUCUGACUGAGGGAUAACCCGUCGAAAGUCGGCCUAAUACCUCAUGGCAUCGUCUGCGGGCAUCCAACGACGAUUAAAGAUUUCAUCGGUCAGGGAUGGGGAUGCGUCUGAUUAGCUUGUUGGCGGGGUAACGGCCCACCAAGGCGACGAUCAGUAGGGGUUCUGAGAGGAAGGUCCCCCACAUUGGAACUGAGACACGGUCCAAACUCCUACGGGAGGCAGCAGUGAGGAAUAUUCUCAAUGGGCGAGAGCCUGAACCAGCCAAGUAGCGUGCAGGAUGACGGCCCUAUGGGUUGUAAACUGCUUUUAUGCGGGGAUAAAAGUGAGGGACGU